This 421-nucleotide unclassified non-coding RNA is filed under the name Hevea brasiliensis (rubber tree). The record is from RNAcentral. Lineage: Eukaryota; Viridiplantae; Streptophyta; Magnoliopsida; Malpighiales; Euphorbiaceae.
GAAAGAAGAUGGAGCCACAGAUGAUCAGAAAGCUUCAUGUGUUGAUGGAGAAUCUUCUGAAUCUGCCGGAUCGUCAGAAAAGGACCUCCGAAAUGCUGUGGGCAUAUUAAAGAAGAGAGGUCCUGCUUUGUCAGACAGAAAAUUGAACCCAGAAUUCUUUCAGAAACUUGAAGAAAGGAGUUCAAAUGAUUUGCCUGUGGAGGUGGUUGUCCCUCGUCAAUGUCUUAAUGCAUCUAAUACACCAACUGAAGUAGAGUCUGCGCCAGACAAAGCAGAAACAGGACAGAGAAUAAUGAGGAAAAGCCAUAGUGAUGCUAGGUAUAGUAACUCGGAGAGUCAAACUUCGGGGGUAAGUGGCAGAGAACAUGAUACUGUUGAUGAUGGAGAUUUGAAUCAGAGGGAACAAUCCAGUUACCGUGCU